Molecule: ribosomal RNA, 114 nt
Filed under: Pteropus alecto (black flying fox)
Lineage: Eukaryota; Metazoa; Chordata; Mammalia; Chiroptera; Pteropodidae
Source: RNAcentral
GUCUAUGGCCAUGCCACCCUGAACGUGCCCAAUCUCAUCUGAUCUCGGAAGCUGAGUCGGGCCUGAUUAGUACUUGGAUGGGCGACCACCUAGGAAUACCAGGUGCUGUAGGCG